AGAGUUUGAUCCUGGCUCAGGACGAACGCUGGCGGCGAGCCUAAUACAUGUAAGUAGAACGCUGAAGAGAGGAGCUUGCUCUUCUUGGAUGAGUUGCGAACGGGUGAGUAACGCGUAGGUAACCUGCCUUGUAGCGGGGGAUAACUAUUGGAAACGAUAGCUAAUACCGCAUAACAAUGGAUGACACAUGUCAUUUAUUUGAAAGGGGCAAUUGUUCCACUACAAGAUGGACCUGCGUUGUAUUAGCUAGUAGGUGAGGUAAUGGCUCACCUAGGCGACGAUACAUAGCCGACCUGAGAGGGUGAUCGGCCACACUGGGACUGAGACACGGCCCAGACUCCUACGGGAGGCAGCAGUAGGGAAUCUUCGGCAAUGGGGGCAACCCUGACCGAGCAACGCCGCGUGAGUGAAGAAGGUUUUCGGAUCGUAAAGCUCUGUUGUAAGUCAAGAACGGGUGUGAGAGUGGAAAGUUCACACUGUGACGGUAGCUUACCAGAAAGGGACGGCUAACUACGUGCCAGCAGCCGCGGUAAUACGUAGGUCCCGAGCGUUGUCCGGAUUUAUUGGGCGUAAAGCGAGCGCAGGCGGUUUGAUAAGUCUGAAGUUAAAGGCUGUGGCUCAACCAUAGUUCGCUUUGGAAACUGUCAAACUUGAGUGCAGAAGGGGAGAGUGGAAUUCCAUGUGUAGCGGUGAAAUGCGUAGAUAUAUGGAGGAACACCGGUGGCGAAAGCGGCUCUCUGGUCUGUAACUGACGCUGAGGCUCGAAAGCGUGGGGAGCGAACAGGAUUAGAUACACUGGUAGUCCACGCCGUAAACGAUGAGUGCUAGGUGUUGGAUCCUUUCCGGGAUUCAGUGCCGCAGCUAACGCAUUAAGCACUCCGCCUGGGGAGUACGACCGCAAGGUUGAAACUCAAAGGAAUUGACGGGGGCCCGCACAAGCGGUGGAGCAUGUGGUUUAAUUCGGAGCAACGCGAAGAACCUUACCAGGUCUUGACAUCCCGAUGCUAUUUCUAGAGAUAGAAAGUUACUUCGGUACAUCGGUGACAGGUGGUGCAUGGUUGUCGUCAGCUCGUGUCGUGAGAUGUUGGGUUAAGUCCCGCAACGAGCGCAACCCCUAUUGUUAGUUGCCAUCAUUCAGUUGGGCACUCUAGCGAGACUGCCGGUAAUAAACCGGAGGAAGGUGGGGAUGACGUCAAAUCAUCAUGCCCCUUAUGACCUAGGCUACACACGUGCUACAAUGGUUGGUACAACGAGUUGCGAGUCGGUGACGGCGAGCUAAUCUCUUAAAGCCAAUCUCAGUUCGGAUUGUAGGCUGCAACUCGCCUACAUGAAGUCGGAAUCGCUAGUAAUCGCGGAUCAGCACGCCGCGGUGAAUACGUUCCCGGGCCUUGUACACACCGCCCGUCACACCACGAGAGUUUGUAACACCCGAAGUCGGUGAGGUAACCUUUUGGAGCCAGCCGCCUAAGGUGGGACAGAUGAUUGGGGUGAAGUCGUAACAAGGUA
Molecule: ribosomal RNA, 1506 nt
Filed under: metagenome
Description: bacterial SSU rRNA
Rfam family: Bacterial small subunit ribosomal RNA
Source: RNAcentral